UACGUAGGGUGCGAGCGUUGUCCGGAAUUACUAGGCGUAAAGGGCAGGCAGGCGGAUCCAUAAGUUUAUCGUUUAAGGCGUCGGCUUAACCGGCGUAGGGCGGUAGAUACUGUGGAUCUGGAAUGCGGUUGGGGAAGACAGAAUUCCUGGUGUAGCGGUGGAAUGCGCAGAGAUCAGGAGGAAUACCGAAGGCGAAGGCAGUCUUCCAAGCCGUUAUUGACGCUCAACUGCGAAGGUGUGGGUAUCAAACAGGAUUAGAUACCCCGGUAGUCCCUGA
RNAcentral lists this ribosomal RNA (277 nucleotides) under uncultured prokaryote. RNAcentral describes it as "partial 16S ribosomal RNA". It matches the Rfam family "Bacterial small subunit ribosomal RNA", at positions 524 to 800 of the family's 1533-position model. The record is from RNAcentral.